AGAGUUUGAUCCUGGCUCAGAUUGAACGCUGGCGGAAUGCUUUACACAUGCAAGUCGAACGAUGAACCUUAGCUUGCUAAGGGGAUUAGUGGCGAACGGGUGAGUAAUAUAUCGGAACGUGCCUUGUAAUGGGGGAUAACUAGUCGAAAGAUUAGCUAAUACCGCAUACGCCCUGAGGGGGAAAGUAGGGGAUCUUCGGACCUUACGUUAUAAGAGCGGCCGAUAUCUGAUUAGCUAGUUGGUGGGGUAAUGGCCUACCAAGGCGACGAUCAGUAGCUGGUCUGGGAGGACGACCAGCCACACUGGAACUGAGACACGGUCCAGACUCCUACGGGAGGCAGCAGUGGGGAAUUUUGGACAAUGGGCGCAAGCCUGAUCCAGCCAUUCCGCGUGAGUGAAGAAGGCCUUCGGGUUGUAAAGCUCUUUCGCAAGGGAAGAAAACUUACAUUCUAAUAAAGUGUGAGGCUGACGGUACCUUGAUAAGAAGCACCGGCUAACUACGUGCCAGCAGCCGCGGUAAUACGUAGGGUGCGAGCGUUAAUCGGAAUUACUGGGCGUAAAGCGUGCGCAGGCGGUUUGGCAAGUCAGAUGUGAAAUCCCCGAGCUCAACUUGGGAACUGCGUUUGAAACUGCCAGACUAGAAUAUGUCAGAGGGGGGUAGAAUUCCACGUGUAGCAGUGAAAAGCGUAGAGAUGUGGAGGAAUACCAAUGGCGAAAGGCAGCCCCCUGGGAUAAUAUUGACGCUCAUGCACGAAAGCGUGGGGAGCAAACAGGAUUAGAUACCCUGGUAGUCCACGCCCUAAACGAUGUCUACUAGUUGUUGGUGGAGUAAAAUCCAUGAGUAACGCAGCUAACGCGUGAGUAGACCGGCCUGGGGAGUACGGUCGCAAGAUUAAACUCAAAGGAAUUGACGG
This 914-nucleotide ribosomal RNA is filed under the name uncultured bacterium. Its description in RNAcentral is "bacterial SSU rRNA". It matches the Rfam family "Bacterial small subunit ribosomal RNA", at positions 8 to 916 of the family's 1533-position model. The record is from RNAcentral.